AGCAGGGACAAUACAGGAAAGAUCACCGCACACCAUCAACAUUUGACUCUUUAAUCGGGACAGUCGAGCUGAAGGAAGGAGAAUUUUAAAACAACAUCUGAUGCAAAUGUCAGUUUAAAAAAAAAUCACCACAGGAUAGAGACCUUGUGAAGUAAUUUCCAAGUCAUGUUAUGCAAUAUUCUGUAAACAAGUGAAUCUGUGAGAUAGACAUCGUAGGAGAAGUUGUGUGAUUGAAGGGCUUCAUGUUGCAUUACAGAAUGGAAAGCUGUGUUAUUUCACCUGUAAGUAUGAGAGGUGGUCUGCAGUUCCAGUUAUCAGAAGAAAUAAUUCCGUAUGAUCAUGGCGGUCGACCGACAUACGACUUCUACCAAUAUCUCAGUACUGACCCCGAAACUCAUCCAGAGACUGGAUGGGACUACACAAGUGUUCAUGUCCAACACAGUGAAUUUGAGGCUCCGCA
This is a long non-coding RNA of Xyrauchen texanus (razorback sucker), 460 nucleotides long. RefSeq lists it as uncharacterized. The record is from RefSeq and is a predicted model, not a curated record. The transcript is spliced from 3 exons. Lineage: Eukaryota; Metazoa; Chordata; Actinopteri; Cypriniformes; Catostomidae.